GCCGUCCUGCCAUGAUGCAGAGAGGCCUCCAUCCUGAGAGAGCUCCCUGAUGAACUUGAGGAGGGAGCUCCUGUCCUGCUCUGUACAUGAACUGGUGAGAGAGGCGAGGUUGAUGAGCAGCACCAGCGCAAGGGCAAGAACAGGACUAAUCAAUGAAGAGCAUCAGGAGGAAGAGAGAAGCUGCCCUUGCUUCCAUUUUAUUCUGGUAUACUAGUCGUAAUCAUAAAAAAGAAAUACAUGUCAAAGAUUAGGUGAUAUAGCCUAUGGAUAUUCAUUAGGACUUUUACAGAUACUGCCACAAUAUCUUCUUGGCAAAAUAUGGUUAUAUAGCAUCCAGUUUCGCCUGUCUUCUUCGGUAUGACGUCUCACUAGCGAGUACUAUUGAAACAUCAAGUGGCCGACCUCCCUGAUCGUGCAAGUUAUUUCCUUUUGUUUGGACCAUUUUUUAUUUUAAUCGUUGUCACAUUGACAUUGUUACAACAUGGAUUAAUUGACUCCAUCUGACAUCACUUCUCUUACCAGCUGCACCCCUGAAGCCAUGAAAGACCUGUUAGCUUGCCAGUUGCCACUGAUGCGUACAAAUUUGUUCAUCCUUGAGAAGAUCAAGGAGAAACGCCCAGGGAUCUUCCGACUAGUUCCACAAGGUGGUGGGCUAGCCGGCGUUGGUUCGAAAUCUCACCCCUUCUAUUUAUUUGAUAUUAGGUUCUUCCCUAAUAUUCACGUUUUUCUUCUGUGAGAAGAUCAAGAAACACAGCUGGUGAAGAUUUGUAAGAUCAGCUUUGCAGGUGGUACAUGGGAAGCAUCAUUCGGAGAGUUGCAUAUAAUCUAGAGCAAUCAUCGGCGUCGCGGUCGUGGUGCGGCACAUGCUCUGGACACCAACAAACACAGCUGAUUGGUUGGUAAUCUGGUGACUAUCUCGUCUCUAUUAUUAUUGUUGUUGUUGUUGUUGAGACGAUCACGCAAGGGCCAAGGCGUUUACUUUCUGCUGUCAAGCGUGCGCGUUGGUUGGCUUAUUUGCUCCACACGUUCAGCUGUUAUCCAUCCUUCAGGCUUCGCCGUUGUAUGACUGUUGACCCAUGGAGGCAUGGACUAUUAUGACGCUUUGUGGUUGUGGAUGCCAUCUGAAUUUUGGAAGCAUAUCCCCUGUGGAUGCCAUCUGGCUGAUCACUUGCAUAGUUGCAUCGGGAUUUAGGACACCACAGGGGAUACUGGUUGAUCACACAUAAUCAUCUUAUGUAUUCUUCCGUUCUAAAAUAACUUAACCGAUAAUAGAAUAUGACAUAACUUAGUACAAUAAAUCUAUAAACGGAUUACGCACCAACAGGCUAACCCUUAUGGGCCUACACGUCAGAGGUAAGUAGAAGAGCCUCAUCGGUGUAGACAUGGUUGAAUGUAGAGUACUCUUGAAUGUACUUCCUGGACCUGGAGCUACACAAGCCUUAGUUUAAUUGAACCGUUGUGUAAAAAUUGUAUUUUUUUUAAGUCAUGGUCAUAUAUUU
Molecule: non-coding RNA, 1499 nt
Organism: Oryza sativa Japonica Group (Japanese rice)
Lineage: Eukaryota; Viridiplantae; Streptophyta; Magnoliopsida; Poales; Poaceae
Source: RefSeq, a predicted model, not a curated record